This 432-nucleotide ribosomal RNA is filed under the name uncultured Alphaproteobacteria bacterium. Its description in RNAcentral is "bacterial SSU rRNA". It matches the Rfam family "Bacterial small subunit ribosomal RNA", at positions 9 to 490 of the family's 1533-position model. Lineage: Bacteria; Pseudomonadati; Pseudomonadota; Alphaproteobacteria. The record is from RNAcentral.
GAGUUUGAUCCUGGCUCAGAACGAACGCUGGCGGCAGGCUUAACACAUGCAAGUUGAACGCCCCGCAAGGGGAGUGGCGCACGGGUGAGUUAAUACUUGGGAACGUGCCUUUCAGUCUGGGAUAACGUCGGGAAACUGACGCUAAAACCGGAUAUUCUCUCCGGAGGAAAGUUUACGCUGAAAGAUCGGCCCAAGCCAGAUUAGCUAGUUGGUGAGGUAAUGGCUCACCAAGGCAACGAUCUGUAGCUGGUCUGAGAGGACGACCAGCCACACUGGUACUGAGACACGGACCAGACUCCUACGGGAGGCAGCAGUGGGGAAUAUUGGACAAUGGGCGAAAGCCUGAUCCAGCCCAUGCCGCGUGAGUGAUGAAGGCCUUAGGGUUGUAAAGCUCUUUGUGAGGGAAGAUGAUGACGGUACCUCAAGAAUAAG